GAUCAGCCAUGCCGCGUGCAGGAGACUGCCCUAUGGGUUGUAAACUGCUUUUAUACAGGAAGAAACCUUCCUACGUGUAGGAGCUUGACGGUACUGUACGAAUAAGGAUCGGCUAACUCCGUGCCAGCAGCCGCGGUAAUACGGAGGAUCCGAGCGUUAUCCGGAAUCAUUGGGUUUAAAGGGUCCGCAGGCGGAUUGUUAAGUCAGAGGUGAAAUCCCGCAGCUCAACUGUAGAACUGCCUUUGAUACUGGUUGACUUGAAUUCUGUUGAAGUAGGUGGAAUGUGUAGUGUAGCGGUGAAAUGCAUAGAUAUUACACAGAACACCGAUUGCGAAGGCAGAUUACUAAGCAUGUACUGACGCUGAUGGACGAAAGCGUGGGGAGCGAACAGGAUUAGAUACCCUGGUAGUCCACGCCGUAAACGAUGGAUACUAGCUGUUGGCGAUAUACUGUCUGACUCAGCGCAAAAGCGAAAUGUACUCCCCCUGGAGAGGGCGAGCGCGAUGGUGACACU
This 514-nucleotide ribosomal RNA is filed under the name uncultured bacterium. RNAcentral's name for it is "bacterial SSU rRNA". It matches the Rfam family "Bacterial small subunit ribosomal RNA", at positions 385 to 901 of the family's 1533-position model. The record is from RNAcentral.